Molecule: ribosomal RNA, 253 nt
Filed under: uncultured bacterium
Lineage: Bacteria
Description: partial 16S ribosomal RNA
Rfam family: Bacterial small subunit ribosomal RNA
Source: RNAcentral
UACGAAGGGAGCUAGCGUUGUUCGGAAUCACUGGGCGUAAAGCGCACGUAGGCGGAUGUGUCAGUCAGGGGUGAAGUCCCGGAGCUCAACUUCGGAACUGCCUUUGAUACAGCACGUCUUGAGUCCGAUAGAGGUGGGUGGAAUUCCUAGUGUAGAGGUGAAAUUCGUAGAUAUUAGGAAGAACACCGGUGGCGAAGGCGGCCCACUGGAUCGGUACUGACGCUGAGGUGCGAAAGCGUGGGGAGCAAACAGG